Molecule: ribosomal RNA, 447 nt
Filed under: uncultured Prevotellaceae bacterium
Lineage: Bacteria; Pseudomonadati; Bacteroidota; Bacteroidia; Bacteroidales; Prevotellaceae
Description: bacterial SSU rRNA
Rfam family: Bacterial small subunit ribosomal RNA
Source: RNAcentral
GUGAGGAAUAUUGGUCAAUGGACGCAAGUCUGAACCAGCCAAGUAGCGUGCAGGAUGACGGCCCUCCGGGUUGUAAACUGCUUUUAGUUGGGAAUAAAAGGGGGCUCGUGAGCCCCGUAUUGUAUGUACCAUCAGAAAAAGGACCGGCUAAUUCCGUGCCAGCAGCCGCGGUAAUACGGAAGGUCCGGGCGUUAUCCGGAUUUAUUGGGUUUAAAGGGAGCGUAGGCCGGCUUUUAAGUCAGCUGUGAAAGUCCGCGGCUCAACCGUGGAAUUGCAGUUGAAACUGGAGGCCUUGAGUGCACACAGGGAUGCCGGAAUUCAUGGUGUAGCGGUGAAAUGCUUAGAUAUCAUGAAGAACUCCGAUCGCGAAGGCAAGUGUCCGGGGUGCAACUGACGCUGAGGCUCGAAAGUGCGGGUAUCAAACAGGAUUAGAAACCCGAGUAGUCC